RNAcentral lists this ribosomal RNA (253 nucleotides) under uncultured bacterium. RNAcentral's name for it is "partial 16S ribosomal RNA". It matches the Rfam family "Bacterial small subunit ribosomal RNA", at positions 524 to 776 of the family's 1533-position model. The record is from RNAcentral.
UACGAAGGGUACAAGCGUUGUUCGGAAUUACUGGGCGUAAAGCGCGCGUAGGCGGCCGCGUAAGUCGAUUGUGAAAGCCCUGGGCUUAACCUGGGAACUGCAGUCGAAACUGCGUGUCUUGAGUGCCUGAGAGGAUGGCGGAAUUCCCGGUGUAGUAGUGAAAUACGUAGAUAUCGGGAAGAACACCUGAGGCGAAGGCGGCUAUCUGGCGGUGCACUGACGCUGAGGCGCGAAAGCGUGGGGAGCAAACAGG